Molecule: ribosomal RNA, 701 nt
Filed under: uncultured fungus
Lineage: Eukaryota; Fungi
Description: Internal transcribed spacer
Rfam family: 5.8S ribosomal RNA (bases 88-241)
Source: RNAcentral
GACCCUGCCUUCGGGCGGGGGCUCCGGGUGGACACUUCAAACUCUUGCGUAACUUUGCAGUCUGAGUAAACUUAAUUAAUAAAUUAAAACUUUUAACAACGGAUCUCUUGGUUCUGGCAUCGAUGAAGAACGCAGCGAAAUGCGAUAAGUAAUGUGAAUUGCAGAAUUCAGUGAAUCAUCGAAUCUUUGAACGCACAUUGCGCCCCCUGGUAUUCCGGGGGGCAUGCCUGUUCGAGCGUCAUUUCACCACUCAAGCCUCGCUUGGUAUUGGGCAACGCGGUCCGCCGCGUGCCUCAAAUCGUCCGGCUGGGUCUUCUGUCCCCUAAGCGUUGUGGAAACUAUUCGCUAAAGGGUGUUCGGGAGGCUACGCCGUAAAACAACCCCAUUUCUAAGGUUGACCUCGGAUCAGGUAGGGAUACCCGCUGAACUUAAGCAUAUCAAUAAGCGGAGGAAUCUUGCUGAAAAACUCGAGCCAUCCGGAAGAUCUGGCGGCCGCUCUCCCUAUAGUGAGUCGUAUUACGCCGGAUGGAUAUGGUGUUCAGGCACAAGUGUUAAAGCAGUUGAUUUUAUUCACUAUGAUGAAAAAAACAAUGAAUGGAACCUGCUCCAAGUUAAAAAUAGAGAUAAUACCGAAAACUCAUCGAGUAGUAAGAUUAGAGAUAAUACAACAAUAAAAAAAUGGUUUAGAACUUACUCACAGC